CCUACGGGGGGCAGCAGUGAGGAAUAUUGGUCAAUGGACGAGAGUCUGAACCAGCCAAGUAGCGUGAAGGAUGACUGCCCUAUGGGUUGUAAACUUCUUUUAUAUGGGAAUAAAAUGUGCCACGUGUGGGAUUUUGUAUGUACCUUAUGAAUAAGGAUCGGCUAACUCCGUGCCAGCAGCCGCGGUAAUACGGAGGAUCCGAGCGUUAUCCGGAUUUAUUGGGUUUAAAGGGAGCGUAGGUGGGUUGUUAAGUCAGUUGUGAAAGUUUGCGGCUCAACCGUAAAAUUGCAGUUGAAACUGGCAGUCUUGAGUACAGUAGAGGUCGGCGGAAUUCGUGGUGUAGCGGUGAAAUGCUUAGAUAUCACGAAGAACUCCGAUUGCGAAGGCAGUUCACUGGACUGCAACUGACACUGAGGCUCGAAAGUGUGGGUAUCAAACAGGAUUAGAUACCCUGGUAGUC
RNAcentral lists this ribosomal RNA (460 nucleotides) under uncultured bacterium. RNAcentral's name for it is "partial 16S ribosomal RNA". It matches the Rfam family "Bacterial small subunit ribosomal RNA", at positions 338 to 795 of the family's 1533-position model. The record is from RNAcentral.